UGGGGAAUAUUGCGCAAUGGGCGGAAGCCUGACGCAGCGACGCCGCGUGGGGGAUGACGGCCUUCGGGUUGUAAACCUCUUUCAGCAGGGACGAAGCGAGAGUGACGGUACCUGCAGAAGAAGCACCGGCCAACUACGUGCCAGCAGCCGCGGUAAUACGUAGGGUGCAAGCGUUGUCCGGAAUUAUUGGGCGUAAAGAGCUCGUAGGCGGUUCGUCGCGUCGGCUGUGAAAUCCCGAGGCUCAACCUCGGGCCUGCAGUCGAUACGGGCGGACUUGAGUUCGGCAGGGGAGACUGGAAUUCCUGGUGUAGCGGUGAAAUGCGCAGAUAUCAGGAGGAACACCGGUGGCGAAGGCGGGUCUCUGGGCCGAAACUGACGCUGAGGAGCGAAAGCGUGGGGAGCGAACAGG
This 409-nucleotide ribosomal RNA is filed under the name uncultured bacterium. RNAcentral's name for it is "bacterial SSU rRNA". It matches the Rfam family "Bacterial small subunit ribosomal RNA", at positions 355 to 776 of the family's 1533-position model. The record is from RNAcentral.